UGUCGGGUCCUACGCAAUAAGACUUCGUGAACCUCGUCAGGUCCUGACGGAAGCAGCGAUAAGCGAAUCAUCUUGUGUGACGUAGACUAGCCCGGCAAUG
RNAcentral lists this signal recognition particle RNA (100 nucleotides) under Eubacteriales Family XIII. Incertae Sedis bacterium. RNAcentral's name for it is "signal recognition particle sRNA small type". It matches the Rfam family "Bacterial small signal recognition particle RNA". Rfam says of the family: The signal recognition particle (SRP) is a universally conserved ribonucleoprotein involved in the co-translational targeting of proteins to membranes. Archaeal SRP consists of a 7S RNA and homologues of the eukaryotic SRP19 and SRP54 proteins. Lineage: Bacteria; Bacillati; Bacillota; Clostridia; Peptostreptococcales; Anaerovoracaceae. The record is from RNAcentral.